UACGUAGGGCCCGAGCGUUAUUCGGUAUUAUUGGGCGUAAAGAGCGCGUAGGCCGUUUUGUAAGACAGUGGUUAAAUACCCGAGCUUAACUCGGGAGCUGCCACUGUGACUGCAAGACUAGACGAUAGCAGGGGCAAGCAGAAUUCUCGGUGUAGGAGUGAAAUCCGUUGAGAUCGAGAGGAAUACCAAUGGCGAAGGCAGCUUGCUAGGCUAUAUGUGACGCUGAGGCGCGAAAGCGUGGGGAGCGAACGGG
RNAcentral lists this ribosomal RNA (253 nucleotides) under uncultured bacterium. RNAcentral describes it as "partial 16S ribosomal RNA". It matches the Rfam family "Bacterial small subunit ribosomal RNA", at positions 524 to 776 of the family's 1533-position model. The record is from RNAcentral.